CCUACGGGGGGCAGCAGUGGGGGAUAUUGCACAAUGGGGGGAACCCUGAUGCAGCGACGCCGCGUGGGUGAAGACGCGCCUCGGCGCGUAAAGCCCUGUCAGCAGGGAAGAAAAUGACGGUACCUGAAGAAGAAGCCCCUGCUAACUACGUGCCAGCAGCCGCGGGAAUACGGAGGGGGCAAGCGUUUUCCGGUUUUACUGGGGGUAAAGGGGGCGCAGACGGGGAUGCAAGCCAGGAGUGAAAGCCCGGGGCCCAACCCCGGGACUGCUCUUGGAACUGCGUGGCUGGAGUGCAGGAGGGGCAGGCGGAAUGCCUGGUGUAGCGGUGAAAUGCGUAGAUAUCAGGCGGAACAGCGGUGGCGAAGGCGGCCUGCUGGACUGCAACUGACGUUGAGGCCCGAAAGCGUGGGGAGCAAACAGGAUUAGAUACCCGGGUAGUC
This 440-nucleotide ribosomal RNA is filed under the name uncultured bacterium. Its description in RNAcentral is "partial 16S ribosomal RNA". It matches the Rfam family "Bacterial small subunit ribosomal RNA", at positions 338 to 795 of the family's 1533-position model. The record is from RNAcentral.